This 977-nucleotide ribosomal RNA is filed under the name Oenococcus oeni. Its description in RNAcentral is "bacterial LSU rRNA". It matches the Rfam family "Bacterial large subunit ribosomal RNA", at positions 1948 to 2925 of the family's 2925-position model. The record is from RNAcentral. Lineage: Bacteria; Bacillati; Bacillota; Bacilli; Lactobacillales; Lactobacillaceae.
GUCCUAAGGUAGCGAAAUUCCUUGUCGGGUAAGUUCCGACCCGCAUGAAAGGCGUAAUGAUUUGGGCGCUGUCUCAACAAUAGACUCGGUGAAAUUUAAAUUCCAGUGAAGAUGCUGGGUACCCGCGACAGGACGGAAAGACCCCGUGGAGCUUUACUGUAGCUUGAUAUUGAAUGUUUGUGCUGCAUGUGCAGGAUAGGUAGGAGACUUUGAAGUCGGAACGCUAGUUUCGAUUGAGUCACCCUUGAGAUACUACCUCUGUUGUAUGAACGUUCUAACUCUGAUCAGUUAUCCUGAUCGAAGACAGUGUCUGGCAGGCAGUUUGACUGGGGCGGUCGCCUCCUAAAAGAUAACGGAGGCGCUCAAAGGUUUGCUCAGAAUGGUUGGAAAUCAUUCGUAGCGUGUAAAGGCAUAAGCAAGCUUGACUGUGAGACUGACAAGUCGAGCAGGUACGAAAGUAGGACUUAGUGAUCCGGUGGUUCCGUAUGGAAGGGCCAUCGCUCAACGGACAAAAGCUACCCCGGGGAUAACAGGCUCAUCUCCCCCAAGAGUCCACAUCGACGGGGAGGUUUGGCACCUCGAUGUCGGCUCAUCGCAUCCUGGGGCUGUAGUCGGUCCCAAGGGUUGGGCUGUUCGCCCAUUAAAGCGGUACGCGAGCUGGGUUCAGAACGUCGUGAGACAGUUCGGUCCCUAUCCGUCGUGGGCGCAGGAAAUUUGAGAGGAUCUGUCCUUAGUACGAGAGGACCGGGAUGGACAUACCUCUGGUGUACCAGUUGUUCUGCCAAGAGCACCGCUGGGUAGCUACGUAUGGAUUAGAUAAUCGCUGAAAGCAUCUAAGUGAGAAACUAACCUCGAGAUGAGAUUUCCCAUUCGUCAGAAGUAAGACCCCUGAGAGACGAUCAGGUAGAUAGGCUAGAAGUGGAAGUGUAGUGAUGCAUGGAGCGGACUAGUACUAAUAGGUCGAGGACUUAACCAAG